GCCAUUUUCUGACAUUUGAAAAGAUCUGAAGAUACGCCCCUUGGAUGCCUGCAGAGAAGCUCUGGGGUUUCAGUCAAUGACUCAGGGUAGCCACUGAACAUGACGCUCGCAGUGGGUGCCACCUGGACUCCACUCUCCUCUCUCUCUGGGAUCAUAGAGUCCAAGGUGUUCUGUGGCCUCUCGGCCAGUCCCAGCAGCUCAGCGUGCAGAAGACCGAGGAGCCAUUGGAAAAGAAAAAGAGAACAUAUAUCCCCCUACCUUUUGAUUUCCAACAGUCUACUGAGAGGCCAACAUUAUUUGCAGGGAAAGAAAAGGGGUCAAAUUGUUUUGCCAGUCACUCCCAAAUCAUCUACAGCCAAGGGGAGAAGUGUAUCAAGACGGAGGUGCUCAACGGUAUCAAAUACUGCCAAGAGACCAAGUAAUACAUGCACUGAAGUGUCUACUGGAUCUAGCUAUAUGUUAUGGUGGAAAACACUAGAAAUGAAGAUUUUGUCCCCAGGGAUGGGGGAUACAAGUUACCAAAGAAGUGGUGAGAAAAGGAAAUUUUAAUUUAGGACACUUAGGCCAUACUGAAGCAAGGUGACAAAAUGAAUAGCUACAAUGUCUCAUGAAUCUUGGGUUUCCAUUCACCCUGGUAUUCAAGAGAAAUUCUUGCAUCAUGGAAGUUGAAGUUGGAUAGGACUUUCUCAGCUGAACACUGUCAUCUGCCAGAGCUUCAG
Molecule: small RNA, 719 nt
Filed under: Pongo abelii (Sumatran orangutan)
Lineage: Eukaryota; Metazoa; Chordata; Mammalia; Primates; Hominidae
Description: processed transcript
Source: RNAcentral